Centruroides sculpturatus (bark scorpion) is the source of this 456-nucleotide long non-coding RNA. RefSeq lists it as uncharacterized. NCBI's taxonomy places the organism in Eukaryota, Metazoa, Arthropoda, Arachnida, Scorpiones, Buthidae. The transcript has 3 exons. The record is from RefSeq and is a predicted model, not a curated record.
GAUCUAUUACUGUUAUUUACAUAAGGAUUUGAAUAGGGAACAAGAUAAGACUGUUUGUAUCCACCCAAAGGCGCCAUUAAAUAUGUUUUAAAUAGAAGAGUCUGAGAACAAAGCCCAAAAUGAGUGGAAUGAAGAUAAAGGAUUCGAUAUUUGAGGAAGAAAAAGAAGAGUUUCCUUGAGACGAAAAAAUCCUUGAAAUCUUUCAAAAAUCUUAUCAGAGACCAACGCAUUACAUGUCUCAUGGAUGACAUUUUCCUUCUCGGAUUUCUACGUGCUACAGAAUAUGAUUUGCCAAGUUCUCUUCAGUUGCUUAAGAAUUAUUAUAACACACGAGUAAAUUAUCCGCAAUACAUUAAAAAUCUUCUUCUUUCGAAAAUGGAGGAUGUUGUGAACAUGAAUAUUUUCCAAUUUUUGCCAAAAACCCGAUCAGAACGGAAGCUAUAUUUGCUUUUUCCG